Molecule: ribosomal RNA, 253 nt
Filed under: uncultured bacterium
Lineage: Bacteria
Description: partial 16S ribosomal RNA
Rfam family: Bacterial small subunit ribosomal RNA
Source: RNAcentral
UACGGGGGGGGCAAGCGUUGUUCGGAAUUACGGGGCGUAAAGGGCGCGUAGGCGGCCUUCUAAGUCGGACGUGAAAUCCCUCGGCUUAACCGAGGAACUGCGUCCGAGACUGAAAGGCUUGAAUCCGGGAGAGGGAUGUGGAAUUCCAGGUGUAGCGGUGAAAUGCGUAGAUAUCUGGAGGAACACCGGUGGCGAAGGCGGCAUUCUGGACUGUAACUGACACUGAGGAACGAAAGCCAGGGGAGCAAACGGG